This 253-nucleotide ribosomal RNA is filed under the name uncultured bacterium. RNAcentral describes it as "partial 16S ribosomal RNA". It matches the Rfam family "Bacterial small subunit ribosomal RNA", at positions 524 to 776 of the family's 1533-position model. The record is from RNAcentral.
UACGUAGGUGGCGAGCGUUGUCCGGAUUUACUGGGCGUAAAGAGCGCGCAGGCGGUCAAGUAAGUCGAAUGUGAAAGCCCCCGGCUCAACUGGGGAGGGUCAUUCGAUACUGCUCGACUCGAAGGCAGGAGAGGGAAGUGGAAUUCCCGGUGUAGUGGUGAAAUGCGUAGAUAUCGGGAGGAACACCAGUGGCGAAGGCGACUUUCUGGCCUGUUCUUGACGCUGAGGCGCGAAAGCUAGGGGAGCAAACGGG